GGUUCUUAAGAAACUAAAUCGAAACAAUUCGAUGGUAGCGUCAAAAACCAAAUCGUCAAACUAAGGUAGAUAGAUAGAUAGUGAAGAAUUUCUUUAACCAAAUCGUUUUUUUUUUUUUUUUUUUUUUUUGAAAGAUCUUUUGCGAUUUCUCUUUUUUUUUCUUUUUUUUUUUUUUUUUUUUUUUGAUCUUCGAUUUCCUUUUUUUUUUUUUUUUUGAAUUGGUUUCUUACAAAAGAUAGAAAGAAAAGAUAU
This 252-nucleotide long non-coding RNA is filed under the name Arabidopsis lyrata. RNAcentral's name for it is "long non-coding RNA (ALYR_LNC002538)". Lineage: Eukaryota; Viridiplantae; Streptophyta; Magnoliopsida; Brassicales; Brassicaceae. The record is from RNAcentral.